This 433-nucleotide ribosomal RNA is filed under the name uncultured bacterium. RNAcentral's name for it is "partial 16S ribosomal RNA". It matches the Rfam family "Bacterial small subunit ribosomal RNA", at positions 29 to 507 of the family's 1533-position model. The record is from RNAcentral.
AGCGAACGCUGGCGGCAGGCCUAACACAUGCAAGUCGAACGAACUCUUCGGAGUUAGUUGCGGACGUGUGAGUAACACGUGGGAACUUGCCCUUAGGUUCGGUAUAACUCAGGGAAACUUGUGCUAAUACCGCAUGUGCCCUUCGGGGGUAAGAUUUAUUGCCUUUAGAGCGGCCCGCGUCAGAUUCGCUAGUUGGUGAUGUAAAGGCUCACCAAGGCGACGAUCAGUAGCUGGUCUGAGAGGAUGAUAAGCCACAUUGGGAAUGAGACACGGCCCAAACUGCGACGGGAGGCAGCAGUGGAGAAUAUUGCGGAAUGAGCGAAAACCUGACGCAGCCAUGCCGGGUGAAUGAGGAAGGGCUUAGGAUUGUAAAAUUCUUUCAGAGGGGACGAGAAUGACGGUACCCGGAGAAGAAGCCCCGGCUAACUUCGUG